UACGGAGGAUCCGAGCGUUAUCCGGAUUUAUUGGGUUUAAAGGGAGCGUAGGUGGAUUGUUAAGUCAGUUGUGAAAGUUUGCGGCUCAACCGUAAAAUUGCAGUUGAAACUGGCAGUCUUGAGUACAGUAGAGGUGGGCGGAAUUCGUGGUGUAGCGGUGAAAUGCUUAGAUAUCACGAAGAACUCCGAUUGCGAAGGCAGCUCACUGGGCUGCAACUGACACUGAGGCUCGAAAGUGUGGGUAUCAAACAGG
RNAcentral lists this ribosomal RNA (253 nucleotides) under uncultured bacterium. RNAcentral describes it as "partial 16S ribosomal RNA". It matches the Rfam family "Bacterial small subunit ribosomal RNA", at positions 524 to 776 of the family's 1533-position model. The record is from RNAcentral.